GGGUUGUGAGGUUAAGCGACUAAGCGUACACGGUGGAUGCCCUGGCAGUCAGAGGCGAUGAAGGACGUGCUAAUCUGCGAAAAGCGUCGGUAAGGUGAUAUGAACCGUUAUAACCGGCGAUGUCCGAAUGGGGAAACCCAGUGCAAUUCGUUGCACUAUCGUUAACUGAAUACAUAGGUUAACGAGGCGAACCGGGGGAAC
This 201-nucleotide ribosomal RNA is filed under the name Klebsiella pneumoniae. RNAcentral's name for it is "partial 23S ribosomal RNA". It matches the Rfam family "Bacterial large subunit ribosomal RNA", at positions 1 to 193 of the family's 2925-position model. The record is from RNAcentral. Lineage: Bacteria; Pseudomonadati; Pseudomonadota; Gammaproteobacteria; Enterobacterales; Enterobacteriaceae.